Molecule: long non-coding RNA, 2170 nt
Organism: Syngnathus typhle (broad-nosed pipefish)
Lineage: Eukaryota; Metazoa; Chordata; Actinopteri; Syngnathiformes; Syngnathidae
Exons: 4
Source: RefSeq, a predicted model, not a curated record
CUAAUCAGUCCGCUAAUCCCGUAAUCCAGUCUGAUUCGAAGGCGCUCCUGUUUGCAUCCAUCAGCCGCCACGCUUAUCUGUUGCACGGCGGAGGAAGACGAGAGCGAGUCGGUAAGCGAGAGAGAGGAGAAUAAGAUGUCCUCUGGCCCUGUGCUGCCUCUCACAGGCUGGUGUUGGUACUACAACUAAAAUUGAGGAGAUAACUCACAAUUGGUUGAGCGGAUCAUUGUGAUCGUCAUUGCUGUUUUGAUCAUCUCCAGUACACCACACACUGCAAGACUGGAUAAGGACGCGGCUUCAUUUGGCAGGCGCCUUCGCCAAGGAGAUGGGUAGACAACGGGGGGGCUUCUUCCCUCCGCCCCAAUUGAUCAUCAUCUGGAGCCAAACGCUCCCGCGUGAAGUCACAGACGAGGCUGCUAUGCAAAUGUGCACUGACCCAUCCAUUGAUGGCCUGGCAGCGGUCCACCCAAAGGGAGCGGAGGCUGCCAAAGAAGCUUUCAGGUCAAAUCAACAAUUAUCUAAUGUAAAAGUACAACUGCAUGACAGCUUUUUGACUGCUAUAAACCUUUGUUGAGCCAGAUAGCAUAUUGGGUGGGUGGUCAAAUGGGCCCAGCAUCUCAGUAUGAGACAUUAUAACCACAAUCUGACACAAGAAAUUCAGUAGAACCUUCAAAGUUAACCUCAAGUUGCUUGUAUAUGGAUGGCUGUUAGCACAUCCAUCUUUUCCCUCGUCUAUUAAAAGCUCUUUUCAAAGUCCACUCAAUAAGUAUAGUUUCUCAUAAUUCUCAUCAUACCUCAUGCAAAUAUUAAUUAGUCAUUGAAUUAUUGAUUGAAUCUUCUGUAAUCAUUUUAGUAGAAGAUGAUUCGGCUUCGUGUUUACUACUAAGCUGACAGUAUUUGGCACCACCGUUCUGCUGUGUUCCAUUAUUUAAAACUAAUAAUUCACCAGCUCCCCUGCAUAUCAUCAAGCAACGCAGUGCGUGCUCACCACUAAAAACCAACGACGGCCUCAGCAGUAAUCAAUAGACUUCAAUAAUCCAACGCGUACUCAUGAAUCAAAAGCAAAGUGGCUUAGCUUGGCGAUUAACUAAAGAGGAAAGUUAAGGUUUCCACAUUAAAAUGCAGCUUUGUAUCAUCGCCGAUGCUCACGAGAAGAAAUCCACUUCUUGACAUUCAUAGAGUUCAACCUCUCUGCGACUCAUAUCAUUCUGUGCAAACAGAGUGUGAGGGUAAUAUAAAGGAUGAGCAAGAAUGUGCCUUUGUCUUCCUCUUUCAAAUAGCAGGGGAGGAAUAUUAAUGCAGCUCUUCAGACCUCAAAAGUGUCGUUUGCGCCGUGUUGUUGCGGGGAUACACAUCACGCUAAUUGGCCUGUAAUUAAUCUGCAAUUUAAUAAAUCAACAUUUAAUUCAAACAAUAGUUCUCAAAAACAGGUUGGGGUGUUUUUCUUUUUUUUUUUUGAAGGGUGAUAAGAGAAUAAAAAGCCAACACACACACACAUACACACGUCAACGGGCAAAAAAACAUAAGUCAAGCAGACUUUUGUCAAGCAUAUGGGUGAUUAGCCCACGCUGAUUAAAAAGCAUCCUCGGCCCUUCAAAGGGCCCUUGACGCCUUUGCAAAUGUUUGCGUUAAAUCUGUCUGAGCCGCCCCCGAUGGGGUAGCAAGGUGUUAAAAAGCACACAAUAAAGAAAGGGGGAGAAACAGACGGCACAGGGAUGGUUGUGAUAGUGAGGUGAGAGGUGCUAAGAUAGGGUGAAGAUGCAGGUGAUGGGUACUAUGCAAGCUGAUUGUGAAAAUCAAAUUUACUUCCCUCAGAUAAUGUGCAAAAAGGACACAUUUCUUGCUCGUUUUUUUAAAAACGACGCUGAUCUGAUGUGGAUGUAUUGACUAUAAACUGCUUUUAUUGUUAUUUCGAUGUCAUUUCAACGGAAAACAGCUGUUGAAUGGUAGAAUGAAAGGUACUAAAUACAACAAUCAAUGGUGGAUGGAAGUCAGCAUGCUUCAAGUAAAUCAUUUUUACUAUGAUAAGAUGUGAAUUCACUGCAGCAAAUUAGAUUUUUUUUUUCAUCCAUAACAAAAUCCACCAAUGUUAUAAUCAUAAAAAGAACAUUUAGAAGCUUUUUUUGGGGGGCUAACAAUAUUACACCAUGAAUGAUGUGUAUUGCUAACA